Molecule: ribosomal RNA, 369 nt
Filed under: uncultured bacterium
Lineage: Bacteria
Description: bacterial SSU rRNA
Rfam family: Bacterial small subunit ribosomal RNA
Source: RNAcentral
GUAGGACGCGAGCGUUAUCCGGAGUUACUGGGCGUAAAGGGUGGGCAGGCGGCCGUGUCAGAUGGGUGUGAAAUCUCCCGGCUCAACCGGGAGGGGCCACUCGUGACUGCACGGCUGGAGGGCAGCAGAGGCGCGUGGAAUUCCGGGUGGAGUGGUGAAAUGCGUAGAGAUCCGGAGGAACACCAGAGGCGAAGGCGGCGCGCUGGGCUGCACCUGACGCUGAACCACGAAAGCCAGGGUAGCGAACGGGAUUAGAAACCCCGGUAGUCCUGGCCGUAAACGAUGUCAACUGGGCCUUGGUAUGGAAGCAUAUCAGGGCCGGAGCGAACGCGCUAAGUUGACCGCCUGGGGAGUACGACCGCAAGGUUA